UACGUAGGCAGCGAGCGUUGUUCGGAGUUACUGGGCGUAAAGAGUGCGUAGGCGGUUUUCUAAGUUUGGUGUGAAAUCUCCCGGCUUAACUGGGAGGGUGCGCCGAAGACUGGAAGGCUUGAGUAUGGGAGAGGUAAGCGGAAUUCCUGGUGGUAGCGGUGAAAUGCGUAGAUAUCAGGAGGAACACCUGCGGUGUAGACGGCUUACUGGACCAUAACUGACGCUGAGGCACGAAAGCGUGGGUAGCAAACAGG
Molecule: ribosomal RNA, 254 nt
Filed under: uncultured bacterium
Lineage: Bacteria
Description: partial 16S ribosomal RNA
Rfam family: Bacterial small subunit ribosomal RNA
Source: RNAcentral